RNAcentral lists this ribosomal RNA (506 nucleotides) under uncultured bacterium. RNAcentral describes it as "partial 16S ribosomal RNA". It matches the Rfam family "Bacterial small subunit ribosomal RNA", at positions 29 to 523 of the family's 1533-position model. The record is from RNAcentral.
AGUGAACGCUGGCGGUAGGCCUAACACAUGCAAGUCGAACGGCAGCACAGGAGAGCUUGCUCUCUGGGUGGCGAGUGGCGGACGGGUGAGGAAUACAUCGGAAUCUACUCUGUCGUGGGGGAUAACGUAGGGAAACUUACGCUAAUACCGCAUACGACCUACGGGUGAAAGCAGGGGACCUUCGGGCCUUGCGCGAUUGAAUGAGCCGAUGUCGGAUUAGCUAGUUGGCGGGGUAAAGGCCCGCCAAGGCGACGAUCCGUAGCUGGUCUGAGGGGAUGGUCGGCCACACUGGAACUGAUGCACGGUCCAGACUCCUACGGGAGGCAGCAGUGGGGAAUAUUGGACAAUGGGCGCAAGCCUGAUCCAGCCAUACCGCGUGGGUGAAGAAGGCCUUCGGGUUGUAAAGCCCUUUUGUUGGGAAAGAAAUCCAGCUGGCUAAUACCCGGUUGGGAUGACGGUACCCAAAGAAUAAGCACCGGCUAACUUCGUGCCAGCCGCCGCCGUAA